UUUUCAAGCUUUCAAAUUUCAAUAGCUCCUUGGUCAUGUGACCUACUGACUUCAAACAAGGUUCAGAAUGUACACGGACUGGCGGAGACGGGCGCUGCGAGGCAUCCAGUGCAGUAACGCGACCGAUCCCAGAGAAGUUGGCGGGAGCCCCGGGGAGAGUUCUCUUUUCUUUGUGAAGGGCAGGGCGCCCUGGAAUGGGUUCGCCCCAAGAGAGGGGCCCAAGCCCUUGAAAGCAUAGCGGUUUUGGCGUUGUCCGGUGAGCUCUCCCUGGCCCUUGAAAAUCUGGGGGAGAGGGUGUAAAUCUUACGCCGGCCCAUACCGAUAUCCGCAGCAGGUCUCCAAGGUGAACAGCCUCU
This 356-nucleotide non-coding RNA is filed under the name Salmo salar (Atlantic salmon). RNAcentral's name for it is "Eukaryotic large subunit ribosomal RNA". It matches the Rfam family "Eukaryotic large subunit ribosomal RNA", at positions 1566 to 1884 of the family's 3401-position model. The record is from Rfam by way of RNAcentral. Lineage: Eukaryota; Metazoa; Chordata; Actinopteri; Salmoniformes; Salmonidae.